AACCUGCGGAGGGAUCAUUACAGAGUACGGGGGCUUGCCCCCGUUGAACUCACCACCCUUUGCUGUGACCGUGACCAUCUGUCUGUCGCCUCGGGGGACCCCGACGCUCGCGUCGGCCCCCCGGCGUGCCAACCAACCUCUGCAUCAUAGUCGUCGGAGUCGUAUUGCGAAAUAAAGCAAAACUUUCAACAACGGAUCUCUUGGUUCUGGCAUCGAUGAAGAACGCAGCGAAAUGCGAUAAGUAAUGUGAAUUGCAGAAUUCCGUGAAUCAUCGAAUCUUUGAACGCACAUUGCGCCCCUCGGUAUUCCGGGGGGCAUGCUUGUUCGAGCGUCAUUACACCCCUCCAGCCUCGCUGGGUCUUGGGCGUCCGCGGUCCGCCGCGCGCCUCAAUGUCGCCGGCCGGUGCGCCUGUCCCGGAGCGUCGUGACUUUUCAGUUCGCUCGUCGGGACCGGGGGCGUCGCGCCGUGAAACCACCUUCUUUCAGGUUGACCUCGGAUCAAGUAGGGAUA
Molecule: ribosomal RNA, 511 nt
Filed under: Microcyclospora quercina
Lineage: Eukaryota; Fungi; Ascomycota; Dothideomycetes; Capnodiales
Description: eukaryotic LSU rRNA
Rfam family: 5.8S ribosomal RNA (bases 181-334)
Source: RNAcentral